UAAAUGCCAAUAAAACUCCAUAUCAUAUAAAAAUUGAUCUUAUAUCCAUAACUAUUAUAUUAUUAAUUAAUAUAAUGAAAGGAAUUAAGACAAAUCAUAAUGACCCUUAUAAUAUGGGCUAUAGACGUGCUAUAAUAAAAUAAUAAAUAAAGUUAAAUAAUAUAUUAAUAAAUAAUAUAUAAUAAAUAACAUAAAAUAUUUUAAUAUUUAAUAUAUUUUUAUAUUAUAUAUAAUAUGAAUUAUUAACUGUAAUUUGUUAAUAUGAAAUAAGAAUUGUUAGUAAUACGUAAAUUAGUAUGUUACGGUGA
RNAcentral lists this ribosomal RNA (308 nucleotides) under Naumovozyma castellii. RNAcentral describes it as "partial small subunit ribosomal RNA". The record is from RNAcentral. Lineage: Eukaryota; Fungi; Ascomycota; Saccharomycetes; Saccharomycetales; Saccharomycetaceae.